UUUUUAUGGAAUGUUGCAGGUGGAACAUUCCCUUCUCCAGCGAUCCUGAGAUUUCUUUAAGCCUGCGACUUCUGUGAUGAAGUUGUGUUACUGGAGAAUGCCUUGAAAGCAGACCAAAUGGGAAUUGCUCCGCUGUGGUCCAGACGCUGAAGGUUCCGGGGUAAAGGCAGAGGCUCGCACCGCUACUCUCUAACAUGCUAGACAAUGCCUUGCAAAGGAGAGCACCAGUACAUGGACUGCACCCGAGCACCGAAACGUCCCAUCCACGAUGACCCAAACUCUCCACAGAAUUUGGGGUGGUUCCACCCUGUCAGCUCACCCACACACAGCCUUUCACGCUGGCUUCCCCGGCCUUGCUUCUCAACAGUCAACAGAAAGACUGCAAGGCCCUCACUCCAGGAUUCAAUCCCAGGGAUUGAACCCGGAUCGCUUACAUCUCCUGCAUUGGCAGAUGGGUUCUUUACCACUAACACCACCUGGAAAGCCCCAAAGAGAGCUGGGAUUCAGCAGAGGUUUUGUUAAAAUAUGGCUGAUUCAUGCCAGUGAAUGGCAAAAACCGCUACAAUGUUGUAAGGUAAUUAGCCUCCAAUUAAAAUAA
RNAcentral lists this long non-coding RNA (598 nucleotides) under Capra hircus (goat). RNAcentral's name for it is "lncRNA (ENSCHIG00000002498.1)". The record is from RNAcentral. Lineage: Eukaryota; Metazoa; Chordata; Mammalia; Artiodactyla; Bovidae.